GCCUACGGGAGGCAGCAGUGAGGAAUAUUGGACAAUGGGCGCAAGCCUGAUCCAGCCAUGCCGCGUGCAGGAAGAAGCAUCUAUGGUGUGUAAACUGCUUUUGUACAGGAAGAAACAUCCCGACGUGUCGGGACUUGACGGUACUGUAAGAAUAAGGAUCGGCUAACUCCGUGCCAGCAGCCGCGGUAAUACGGAGGAUCCAAGCGUUAUCCGGAAUCAUUGGGUUUAAAGGGUCCGUAGGCGGUUUGGUAAGUCAGUGGUGAAAGCCCGCAGCUCAACUGUGGAACGGCCAUUGAUACUGCCAGACUUGAAUUACAAGGAAGUAACUAGAAUAUGUAGUGUAGCGGUGAAAUGCUUAGAUAUUACAUGGAAUACCAAUUGCGAAGGCAGGUUACUACUUGUGGAUUGACGCUGAUGGACGAAAGCGUGGGGAGCGAACAGGAUUAGAUACCCGGGUAGUCCA
This 463-nucleotide ribosomal RNA is filed under the name Pseudomonas sp. DCB_PUT. RNAcentral's name for it is "bacterial SSU rRNA". It matches the Rfam family "Bacterial small subunit ribosomal RNA", at positions 337 to 797 of the family's 1533-position model. Lineage: Bacteria; Pseudomonadati; Pseudomonadota; Gammaproteobacteria; Pseudomonadales; Pseudomonadaceae. The record is from RNAcentral.